GGCAGGAUGAUGCUUAAGUUUCUAAGACCAAAAACCAAUAAGAUGAACUUGAGCAAGAUCCCAAACAGUUGUGCUCCAUAGAUGAUGGAUUUAAAAGUUAAAGAGACGUCAGAUCCAUAAAUACUUUAACAUAGCUAACUAGAAGAAAAAUUAAAUAUAAGCACAAGUACCAUGGAAGCCGCCCAACCAAUCCAUUUGAAUUUUUUAUUUAGCAUGACAAGAAAAUGGUUCAAUAAUUUCCAAGUCCAUAGGGAGAUUGCAACAUAGUUUACUUCUUCAAUAAAAUGUCAGUUUGAUUCAGCAUCACCCCACAAUUGUAAACAUUUCCUCCCAUUUGUAUCAAAUCAUACAAAUCUUUCUAGACUCCCCAUUGGAGAAUGCUAUGCACAACGAAUAAACUGAUAGAACAAAUAUGAACCUGCACAAAAACAAUUCCUUUUUUCCUUUCUUUCUCUUAUCUUCCUUUACACACACACACACACAC
Molecule: unclassified non-coding RNA, 484 nt
Filed under: Hevea brasiliensis (rubber tree)
Lineage: Eukaryota; Viridiplantae; Streptophyta; Magnoliopsida; Malpighiales; Euphorbiaceae
Source: RNAcentral